RNAcentral lists this ribosomal RNA (389 nucleotides) under Pycnococcaceae sp. RNAcentral's name for it is "partial small subunit ribosomal RNA". It matches the Rfam family "Eukaryotic small subunit ribosomal RNA", at positions 582 to 975 of the family's 1831-position model. Lineage: Eukaryota; Viridiplantae; Chlorophyta; Pseudoscourfieldiophyceae; Pseudoscourfieldiales; Pycnococcaceae. The record is from RNAcentral.
AUUCCAGCUCCAAUAGCGUAUAUUUAAGUUGUUGCGGUUAAAAAGCUCGUAGUUGGAUUUCGGGCGUGGAGGUUCGGUCCGCCGUUUCGGUGUGCACUGUCUUUCUGCGUCUUUCUGUCGGGGACGCGCUUCUGGCCUUAAUUGGCUGGGACGUGGAUUCGACGAGGUUACUUUGAAAAAAUUAGAGUGUUCAAAGCAAGCUAAAGCUCUGAACACAUUAGCAUAGAAUAACGCGAGAGGACUCGGUCCUUAUUUUGUUGGUCUUCAAGGAUGGAGUAAUGAUUAAGAGGGACAGUUGGGGGCAUUCGUAUUUCAUUGCUAGAGGUGAAAUUCUUGGAUUUAUGAAAGACGAACUUCUGCGAAAGCAUUUGCCAAGGAUGUUUUCAUCA